UGGUUGGUAUUCGUUUUUCUUUUUGUUGUUGACUCCCCUCAUCUCCACCCCCCCUUCCCUCCCUCCCUCCCUCUCUCUUAAACAGGAAUAACCGGAAGAACGUGCUUUGAGCAUCACAGUGCGCGCGACGAGACGGACACGUUUAUGUUUUGUCGUUCUCCCUGUGCGCUAACACUCCCCUGUCCUUUUUCGAUUCUCUGCGCCGCCCCAUUGUUGUUCUCCCCCUCCCCUUUUCGCCUAUCGCACAGGGGCGUUUCUGCUGGAGACGUCAUUGCAGACAUCCACGGCUGCUGUGUUGUGGUCCCGAGCUGCCUUAUUUUGUGACGGCGUAAAGGAGAGAGAGGGGCACAUUCUGCCCUGUUGUCCAGGAAAGAAACGAAAAGAACAACAGCAAAAAAAAAAAAGAACAGGCGCGGCUGCAGGACACGGAGCGUGCUGUCAGUUGCGAAGAAACAUUCAAACAACAGCGAUACGGUCAAGUAGUCCUCGGCGACUACGUCUGCACAUCGCCUGGGGCCCGUUGCCACCCGUCUCGGAGAAGAAAGACAAAGAAAAAAAAAACAUUAUCCAGUUCCAAUCAUGCUCUUCAACCUGCGCGGUAUCGUUCCUCAGAAGGAGGAGAAGGUGAAGAACCAGAUGACGCUUGCUGACAUUCUCGCUUUUCGCGACACAUGGACUGCCAUUCCUGAGCCGAACUUCUCGCUAGAGCGCGUGCUGCUGACUGCCCGCCUGGAGAAGCAACGCAAGGCAGAGAUUCCUAAGCUCGUCAUGUCCGAGAACGGAUUCCGCGUUCGCGACAAGAAGGACAUGGACGCGUCGGAGCUCGAGCUACGCCGCGUGCAGGGUUCGCUGAACAAGCUCACUGACAAGAAUUUCGACGCCGUGGUGGAGGAAGCGCUUUCGCCGGACCUGGUGUUGAAUCCGCUGGUGCUAAAGGGUGCCGUGGAUAUCAUCUUCAACAAGGCCGUGGCGGAGCCGGUCUUUUCCGGCAUCUACGCCCAGCUGUGUCAGCGCAUCAAGGUGUACGAGCAGGACCUUGUCGCGGAGGCCGCGGAAAACCCCACAUCCGAGCUUGGCCAGCUCAUGGCAGCGGUACAGGCGGGGGACGAUGACCAGAAGAACGUAAACGGACGCGUGCGCAACGCGUUGGUGAAGCGCUGCCAAGAGUUUCACGACAGCUUCGUGAACCAGCCGCCACCCCGAAACGCCGAGGCCGAGGAGCAGCUGCGCAAGCGCAACAUGGCGAACAUCAAAUUUGUUGGCGAACUGUACAUGCGCUCGCUCAUCUCACACCGCGUGAUUCUGGCCGUGUGCUCGACGGCGCUUGUCCUGGGCUUUAUACCGAGUCCCAAGCUGGUCACCACGGAUGCCGACCUCGAGAUGAUGGUGAGUCUGAUGAAUGUCAUCGGCAAGCGGUUCGACGAAAACGCUGGCAUGGCGCUGAACCACGUGCCGAAGGACGCCGCUGCUGCGGCACACCCGCACGACACCAUCUGGCGCGCGCUGAACUCGUCGAUGAACGAUCCUCGCUUCUCGCGUCGCAUCCGGUUCCUCAUUCAGAAUUUGCUGGAGUGGCGCAACGACGGGUGGAAGCCGAAAGAGAGCUCUGCCCAGGGAUCCUCGGGUGGUAGCGCAGACGACAGCAACAACACGACCCACAACGAGCGCCCCAACCACCGCUCUAGCAACAACGCAUGCAGUCACAGCAACACCGGCGGCUUUAGCGGACCGAACGAGCAGAUGCACCGCAAUGCAGCGCCGAACAACUUCGGCAGCGGCGGCUCGUGGCAGCAGCAGAUGCAGCAGCUACACUCCGGUGGUCGCGGCCCCAUCAUGGGCAGCUCUAACGCGGGCGGCAACCGUGGCGGGACGCGGCCUUCGAGCAUGGCGGACAGAGGCGACGAAAAGUAUGGCCGUGGCGGUGGCCCGGGAGGCCUGCGGCAGGGCCCCGUCUCGAGCUUCAACGACCUCAGCCAGUUCCCAGCCAGCAAUGACCACAUGAUGCCGCCGCCGCCGCCGUUCGCGGCGCCGCCGCCGCCCUUCCCAGGGGAGGGUAUGAUGCCGCCGCCCAUGGUGCCGCAGGCGGCUUCGGUGUCUGGGCCGCAGAUGAGCGAUGAGGACCGCAAGUUGAUGGCGCUGGCGACACCGCCGAAGUGCGUCGACGCCGACCUCAGCGCGCGUAUCUUGAGCUGCAUCCGCGAUGCGCACACGGACGGGGACUGGGCCGCUGCCGGCAAGGCGAUCGUGGAGGCGGUGCCGCAGGACGCCGCACACAUGUGCCGCAUGUGCGCUGUUUUCGUCAUUGCAAAGAAGGUGACGGAGACGUCUUCAGAGGCGGACCGGGAGCUUUUCAUGAGCUCGCUCAACAGCGGCAUGUUCGACAUCAAGGAGCUGACGCGCGGCUACUCAUGGUGCCUGACAAACGCUGUGGCGUACAAUGUCAAGGAGGACUUCCCCAAGGUGUACAGCCGCUUCGUGGCGUGCGUGACGGCAACGAAGUCGAUGGACUUCUUGUCGAUGGUGAGUAACGUCAUGGCACGCACGGCGAACUACCUCGACGCGCUGUACGUGCCGCUGGAGGGUGCGCAGAUGGAGUGGGAGGAGGAUUUCCUGGAGGUGUGGACGUCUGUGCUCGGCAAGUGGCAGGAAGCUCACCCCGGAGACAAGUCUACUGGCAGCGACAUCCUCAACUGCAUUGCAUCCAUCAAGCAGCGGCCCUUCAUGAAGGACAUCGUUUCUGACUUUAUGAUGGAGCUGAGCCAGCAGGGCUACCUCGAUGAUGCCGAGGCCCAGACUUGGAUUCUCGAGAAUCGGACGAACGAAAAGUACAAGAUGUUCAUGGACCAGAUGGAACAGAUGUACCCCGACACGGCGUAGCUGCCCUACGAGCCUGUGCUGUUUUUCUCUCUCUCUCUCUUGUUGAGUUUGUGUGCAGAGAUGCUUGUAGACAGUCGUCCGUCUUUUUCUCCUAUUGUUCGUCUAGGUGUGGACCCAUUACGGGGGCGUGCUCUGCGGCGGUGCUCACGCACAUCAGCGUGGAGGCGGCACGAUGAAGUCCUCCCGUUCCCCCGCCGCGUUGGCAGUUCCACACGAUCUCGUGCUUUUCUUCUGCCUUUGCUUGUGUCUUUUUGAGCCUCCUUGCGGCUUUACCUUUUUUUUUUCUGGCAGGAGAUGGCUUCAUGCGUUUCACCUCCUUGUGCUUGUGCUUGUGCGCACACACACACACACACACACACCUUUAGAUGGCCGUUGUAUGCAUCUGCAGAAUAGCCUCUCCGUCUUCUCCUACUUCUGCACUCCUCCUCACAAGCCCUUGUAUUAAGCGGGGGAGCGCACCAGAAAAGGUUGACAGACGCGAUGGUGUCGUAGCCGUCGGGUAUUCAGACGUCGCAGCGUGGAUCGGGCCAAGGCGAAGUGGUCGGGUGGGAGACAUGUGCUAUAUCCUCGCGCUGAUGCGUUCCUGAGGUUCCUCAACAGUGUGGGUCGUGCCCUUAUCCUUCCCAUACUCCCAGCGCUAGUCCUGAGCUGCUUACCGGAGUAUCCGUUUGUGUGUGUUGGAGGGUGUGUGUGCCUGUCUCUCGUUCUCACUCGCCCAUACGCUCCUUUUUUAUCCCUUCCCCGCCCUCUAUGUCGGGCCGCCAUCCCUGUCAGUACUCGCCCCCUCUCUCUUUUUAUAUAUUUUUGCUCCACAUCACAAGAACCCAAACAACAAGAGGCAUGCCAUUGCCGUCGUUGGGAUGUCAGCCGUUUUCGUCUUCGUGUCUGUGUGUGCUCUUGCUGCGUAAGCCUUCAUAAGUGCCGUAACAUAAUUAUGAACGCCAAUGAAGAGCGACUUGAGGU
This 3840-nucleotide unclassified non-coding RNA is filed under the name Leishmania donovani. Its description in RNAcentral is "gene:LdHU3.36.8370(CDS-product:eukaryotic_transla tion_initation_factor_4_gamma_putative)". Lineage: Eukaryota; Euglenozoa; Kinetoplastea; Trypanosomatida; Trypanosomatidae. The record is from RNAcentral.